AGUGAACGCUGGCGGUAGGCCUGACACAUGCAAGUCGAACGGCAGCACAGUAAGAGCUUGCUCUUACGGGUGGCGAGUGGCGGACGGGUGAGGAAUACAUCGGAAUCUACUUUUUCGUGGGGGAUAACGUAGGGAAACUUACGCUAAUACCGCAUACGACCUACGGGUGAAAGCAGGGGAUCUUCGGACCUUGCGCGAUUGAAUGAGCCGAUGUCGGAUUAGCUAGUUGGCGGGGUAAAGGCCCACCAAGGCGACGAUCCGUAGCUGGUCUGAGAGGAUGAUCAGCCACACUGGAACUGAGACACGGUCCAGACUCCUACGGGAGGCAGCAGUGGGGAAUAUUGGACAAUGGGCGCAAGCCUGAUCCAGCCAUACCGCGUGGGUGAAGAAGGCCUUCGGGUUGUAAAGCCCUUUUGUUGGGAAGGAAAAGCAGCAGGUUAAUACCCCGCUGUUCUGACGGUACCCAAAGAAUAAGCACCGGCUAACUUCGUG
RNAcentral lists this ribosomal RNA (492 nucleotides) under uncultured bacterium. RNAcentral describes it as "partial 16S ribosomal RNA". It matches the Rfam family "Bacterial small subunit ribosomal RNA", at positions 29 to 507 of the family's 1533-position model. The record is from RNAcentral.